RNAcentral lists this ribosomal RNA (465 nucleotides) under uncultured Klebsiella sp. Its description in RNAcentral is "bacterial SSU rRNA". It matches the Rfam family "Bacterial small subunit ribosomal RNA", at positions 338 to 795 of the family's 1533-position model. Lineage: Bacteria; Pseudomonadati; Pseudomonadota; Gammaproteobacteria; Enterobacterales; Enterobacteriaceae. The record is from RNAcentral.
CCUACGGGUGGCUGCAGUGGGGAAUAUUGCACAAUGGGCGCAAGCCUGAUGCAGCCAUGCCGCGUGUGUGAAGAAGGCCUUCGGGUUGUAAAGCACUUUCAGCGGGGAGGAAGGCGGUGAGGUUAAUAACCUCAUCGAUUGACGUUACCCGCAGAAGAAGCACCGGCUAACUCCGUGCCAGCAGCCGCGGUAAUACGGAGGGUGCAAGCGUUAAUCGGAAUUACUGGGCGUAAAGCGCACGCAGGCGGUCUGUCAAGUCGGAUGUGAAAUCCCCGGGCUCAACCUGGGAACUGCAUUCGAAACUGGCAGGCUAGAGUCUUGUAGAGGGGAGUAGAAUUCCAGGUGUAGCGGUGAAAUGCGUAGAGAUCUGGAGGAAUACCGGUGGCGAAGGCGGCCCCCUGGACAAAGACUGACGCUCAGGUGCGAAAGCGUGGGGAGCAAACAGGAUUAGAUACCCCGGUAGUC